This is a non-coding RNA of Prunus avium (sweet cherry), 392 nucleotides long. The record is from RefSeq and is a predicted model, not a curated record. Lineage: Eukaryota; Viridiplantae; Streptophyta; Magnoliopsida; Rosales; Rosaceae.
GUGUACUUGCUACUCAAUGUACGUAAAGUCCAUCUAGGAUGAAGGAAAGGAGAAGACGAGGUAAGAAAGUUGAGAAUAAUUGAGGAGUUGUUGAGAUGGUUCGAAGGUUCGGGCUUUUGCAAAAGGGAUGUUUUUAUGUCAAGAGCAGAGAGAGAGGCUUUGUAAAUUGGAAGAUCCUAAAGCCAGGCUCGAAUGGUUUAAGAGUGAAAUGGGUGGGAAAUGAAUUAGAAGCAAUUGUUUUAUGCUUCAUGUUAUGUUGUUUGACAUUAUAUAUGGUUUAGACUUAUGUGGUGCUGGAUUUGGAAUUUGGAUCAUUACCUUAUGUUUCAUAUUAGGUAAUUGUAGUAUUUGCAGUCGUAUAGUUAUGAUAUGUUUGGCUGUUUUGGUGUUCC